CGCCAGACUCCUACGGGAGGCAGCAGUGGGGAAUAUUGCACAAUGGGGGAAACCCUGAUGCAGCGACGCCGCGUGAGUGAAGAAGUAUUUCGGUAUGUAAAGCUCUAUCAGCAGGGAAGAAAAUGACGGUACCUGACUAAGAAGCCCCGGCUAACUACGUGCCAGCAGCCGCGGUAAUACGUAGGGGGCAAGCGUUAUCCGGAUUUACUGGGUGUAAAGGGAGCGUAGACGGCAUGGCAAGUCAGAUGUGAAAGCCCGGGGCUCAACCCCGGGACUGCAUUUGAAACUGUCAGGCUGGAGUGCAGGAGAGGUAAGUGGAAUUCCUAGUGUAGCGGUGAAAUGCAUAGAUAUUAGGAGGAACACCAGUGGCGAAGGCGGCUUACUGGACUGUAACUGACGUUGAGGCUCGAAAGCGUGGGGAGCAAACAGGAUUAGAUACCCUAGUA
RNAcentral lists this ribosomal RNA (446 nucleotides) under uncultured bacterium. Its description in RNAcentral is "bacterial SSU rRNA". It matches the Rfam family "Bacterial small subunit ribosomal RNA", at positions 329 to 792 of the family's 1533-position model. The record is from RNAcentral.